This 21-nucleotide non-coding RNA is filed under the name Caenorhabditis elegans. The record is from RNAcentral. Lineage: Eukaryota; Metazoa; Nematoda; Chromadorea; Rhabditida; Rhabditidae.
UCUUGGUAUCCCGUAUUAAAA